GAAGAGAUGCCUCGACGCACUCGCCCAAAACCCCGCCAGGCCGGAAACGGAGCAACGGUAUGGGAUGAGUGCGGGUGGGGCUUUUUUUGUUUAU
Molecule: signal recognition particle RNA, 94 nt
Filed under: Blastochloris viridis
Lineage: Bacteria; Pseudomonadati; Pseudomonadota; Alphaproteobacteria; Hyphomicrobiales; Blastochloridaceae
Description: signal recognition particle sRNA small type
Rfam family: Bacterial small signal recognition particle RNA
About the family: The signal recognition particle (SRP) is a universally conserved ribonucleoprotein involved in the co-translational targeting of proteins to membranes. Archaeal SRP consists of a 7S RNA and homologues of the eukaryotic SRP19 and SRP54 proteins.
Source: RNAcentral